UUCAAUAAUUGCUGCGUUGAUAUUUUGUAUUGCUGUUGUUUCAAUAAUUGUCAUUACACAGUAUUUUCCAUUAUCAAAUCAAUAAUUCAUAUUAUUUGAAUAAUAUUAUCAGAUAACAUUAUUGGCAAUGUCUAGAAAGUUCUGUCUAAGGAGAGGUUUGGUCACCUAAUUGCGCGCCAGUAAGGAGAAAUCCUUAUUGGAAAGCCCCCUCUUUCCUGGGAACGGCCUGGUUGUCAGUACUGUGAUUCUGUAAUAUUAUUUUUAAAUAAUUAAUUAUUGAUUAUUAUGAUAAAGAAAAUAUUUAUUUUAUGUGGAUAUAGAUGGAGAAAAUUUUUAAUGUGACAAUUGUUGAAAAUUAAUAUUUUAUCUUUUUCUGAUAAAAUAAUUCAUUUAAAUAUAUUAUUUUAAUAAUAUAUUAACGGUGAUAUUUUUAUAAUGAAUGUGGGAUAUAUGAGUAUAUGAGGAGGUAGAGUAUUUUGUGGCAUUAAAUGUUUAACAUAUGUUUUGUGUGUCGGUGGACACAAUUCUUGACCGAAAAUUGAUUAUAGACUGUAAAAUCGUCCGUUUAUGGAUUUCGGUCAAUUUCUGUUUGGAAUUUGGAAAAAUUUUCUUCUGCAAAGUUGUAGAGAAUGGAAUUUCCCAUGGAAAGUCGCGAGUUUCGAAUUUUUCUGAUAAACGAGCUAUUUUCUACGAAUUAUUGAAGUUUCGGAAGAUAAAAUAAUUUUUAUUAAAUAAUGGGUGGGACCCACUCUUGUUUGAACAUGUGGGCUGCUGGAAAUUGGGUCAAGGUUGGCUGGUGGCUGAAGUGUUCAAAUGGCAUGCGUAGAAAUGUAAUUUUAAAUAAUAAUAAUUUAUUAAUUUAGUCUCCUUUGGCGUUCUAACAUUUUCCUAUAAAUAGAGGGCUAAGUUAGAAUUGAAAAUCACACCAGAAACUAAGUUUUCUCUCUUUCUCUCUCUAAAUUAUCGAGCGUAUUCUUGUGAGUAUACUUUGAGUGUUGCUAUACGGUGCGGGUUUCUGUCAGCACUAUACCGAAAUUCAGUCAGAAGUACGGUUAUUUUGAGGUAAGGGGUAUUAUUUUCUUCUUAAAUGAUAUUUUUUCUUCAAUAUCAUUAUGCCGAAGUAUUGGUGAACUUUUUUAUCAAAUUUGGAACUUGUUGUGUCGGGGUUACUAUUCACGUAUACGGCACUAUUCACGUAUACGACACUAUUCACGAAUACGGCACUAUUCACCGAAAAAUAAAAAUUUUUCUUUUUGUCCAAAAUAUCUAUUCUGGAUACUAGCUUUGAUUGUAUCCAUGUUUUGAUCAUUCUUGAAUUUUACACCAAUAUGAUUAUUUUCGAAGUAUUUUUGGACAUGGGUAAAACAAAGUACGAAUCCUUAAUCCUUAAUCCUUGUCAUUUUGUUUCACUGGAUUCGUUUCUUUAAAAAUGUUUUUCAUCAUCCUCAGUCCUAAAUGGUGAUAUAAAUGAAUAUCUUUGGCCUGUAGUGCAAAGAUGAACGAUUAACUGAUGAAUAUCUUUGGCCUGUAGUGCAAAGAUGAACAGGUGUUGAGAUGAACAUGACCAACUGGUGAUACAAAUGAAUAUCUUUGGCCUGUAGUGCAAAGAUGAUUAAAGAUGUAUAUUGAUUGUUAUUACAGGGAUAAACUAUUGAUGAUGGACUUUUAAACCUUAGAAGACAGUAGAAUUCUUUCUCUACGUGACUCUUCUAAUGGAUUGCUGUUUCCGCUGCAUUUGUUGAUCUAAAACUUGUUGUCUAUUGUAUUCUAUUAGAUUUUUCCCUGUUGAAGACUAACGAUAAUUUGUUGUAUAUUAUCUUAGUCAUAAUAUUCUUUACUGGGCUAGUUGAGCUCACCCUUUUCCUUUUUGUUCCAUUUUUCUUCUCAGGAGGUGAGAACAUAGCAGGAUCGAGUCGGGGUAUGGAGUGAUGGUUCUAGGAAGAUGUUUUAGCUGUCCUCACUAUUUCUGUAAAAUAGUGUAUGAAUAAUUAAUGAGGACUUAUUUGGGUGUGUAUAUUGUCUAGAAGACAAUAUUUGUAUUCAAACUCACAGUUGUAUUGUCGUAUUCUACACGACAUCUGUAUUGUCAAAGUUGUAGUUUGCUUUCUAUACCAUGUAUUUUGGCGACUCAGAAUGGGUGUUGUAUACCUAUUUUGGGGGCGUCACAGUUGGUAUCAGAGCUUAGGGAUAUGAUCUCUGGCGGAGAUCGGGGAAUAGAACUAGGAGGGGAGAGACGAGUAAAUCCUUCGCUAGUGUGUCCUACCUAAGCUUAUUUGUUGGUCGGUCAUAAUAUAGGAUAUUAUGUGAUAUGUUAAUUUGUUUAAUUAACCCUUGUUUUAUGGCAGUAUUUAAGAAUGGCUGCUGAGAACGUUAACAAUGGAGUUUAUGAGACCGUGGAGACGCCGGUACUCACCAACGAGGAGAACGUGCAACAGGCUGGCAAUGUUCCUCCUGUGAACAACGCCACUGAGCAAAUGAUGAACGACGGGAUGUUUAGAAGCUUUUUGCAGUUCAUGCAAAAUCAGACAAGGGAGACUCGUGUACAAAAUACGGGUGGAAAUGAUGGCAAUGCACGGUCUGUCACAGCCAAGCAGUUCAAGGAGUUGGGACCACCAGAUUUCCAUGGAAAGCCGGAUCCGAUCAAGGCAGAAACGUGGGUCAAGCAAAUUACCAAGAUAUUCGAUGUCUUGGGGUGCACGGAGGAACAGAAGGUUCCAUUCGCCACCUUUAUGUUUCGUGGUGAAGCAGAUUACUGGUGGGAAUCUGUGAAGCGUACCCAGCCAGAUGCACUUAACAUGUCUUGGGAAAGAUUUCAGAAACUGUUCAAUGACAAGUACUUUCCAGAAAGUAUUCGUCAUAUGAAGGAGGUAGAGUUUAUUAGACUCGAACAGAACAACAUGACGGUGUCUCAGUACGAGGCAAGGUUCGCAGAAUUAUCCAGGUUUGCACCUCAUUUGGUGGAGAAUGAGGAACGAAUGACGCGUAUGUUUCUGAGAGGUCUAAAACCAGAGAUUCGUCAAUACCUUAUCUCUCAUAAAUUUUCUCUGUAUUCAGAUGUUGUCAACAGGGCUCAGUUAUUAGAGCGAGAUAGUGAGUAUACUCAACCGAGGGACCACAAUCAGGGUAGUCAUCAGAACGAUGAUAACCAGCGAGGAGGAAAGAAUACGGACAAAGGCGGUAACCACUCAGGUGGUAAUCGUGGACAUGAUAAUAGGAGAGGUGACUCAAGUGGAAAUUUCAGAAAGAGAAGAUUCAACAAUGACGGGAAGAUAUCAACGGCAGCACCAGCACCAACAACAAAUGCUAGGGGAGGAGAACGACCGCCAGUUAGAUGUUACAAAUGCGGGAAGGAGGGACAUAUCAGCCCAAACUGUCCACAACAAUCCAAGGUAUGUUACAACUGUGGAAAGGAAGGCCACAUCGCUCGAGAUUGUACUAUCGCGAAACCAAGUUCAGCAGGAGUGGUGAUUCCAAGGGCUGUCCCGGAUAAGUCGAAAUCAGCGGUUCCUGGAAGAGCGUUUGUCGUGACUGGACAAAACGUGAGGAACCCAAACGAGGUGAUCACGGGUAAGCUAAUCUUGAAUUCUUGCGAAGUUUAUACCUUACUAGAUACCGGUUCUACCCAUUCUUUUAUCUCUCCUGCUUGUGCUCAACGUUUAAACUUGACUCCGGAGAAAUUAGAUUUUGAUUUAUCUGUUGAAACUCCGUUGGGUGAAACCUUCGUUACAUCUACAGUUUAUAAAUCUUGCAUGAUCCAAGUUGGCACUAUCACAUUACCUGUUGAUCUUAUCUCUUUAAAGAUACUUGCUUUUGAUGUGAUUUUAGGAAUUGAUUGGUUAACCACUCAUCAUGCCAAAAUUGAUUGUUUUCGUAAGGUUGUUAGUUUUCAUAUUCCUAACCAACCUGUCAUACGAAUUCAAACCACUAAACCACUAAAAUCAGUCACUGUCAUAUCAAGCCACAAAGCUAUUCGUUUAUUGAAAAACGGAUGUCAAGCUUUCUUAGCCCAUGUUAUGGAUUUGAAUAAAGACAAGUCAGAUUUGAAUAAUAUUUCUGUGGUUAGAGAAUUCCCUGAUGUAUUUCCUGAAGAGCUUCCCGGUCUACCCCCAGAACGUGAUGUUGAAUUCUUUAUUGACCUUGAACCGGGUACAAAGCCCAUUUCUAAAACCCCAUAUCGAAUGGCUCCUAUUGAACUUCAGGAGUUAAAAGUCCAACUACAGGAGUUAUUAGACAUCGGUUUCAUUCGUCCUAGUACGUCUCCUUGGGGUGCUCCUGUUUUAUUCGUAAAGAAGAAAGACGGGAGUAUGCGACUUUGUAUUGACUAUCGAGAAUUGAACCAUGUCACCAUCAAGAAUAGGUAUCCGCUACCUCGCAUUGAUGACCUGUUCGACCAGUUACAAGGAGCGCAAUUCUUUUCAAAGAUCGAUCUUCGUUCUGGAUAUCAUCAGCUGAAGAUUAAAACUGAGGAUAUUCCAAAGACGGCAUUCAGGACUCGAUACGGGCAUUAUGAAUUCUUGGUCAUGUCUUUUGGAUUGACUAAUGCUCCUGCUGCUUUCAUGGAUAUGAUGAACCGUGUAUUUAAGGAAUAUUUGGAUCAGUUCGUUGUUGUCUUUAUUGAUGACAUCCUCAUCUAUUCCAAAAGCCGUGAAGAUCAUGAGCACCAUUUGAAGCUGGUACUACAAAGACUUCGUGAACACAAGCUUUAUGCCAAGCUGAAGAAAUGCGAGUUCUGGCUUGAGGAAGUAGCAUUCCUUGGGCACGUGGUGUCAAAACAAGGAGUAUCUGUUGACCCGGCGAAGAUUGAAGCAAUACAAAGUUGGGAGCAACCGAAGUCGGUGACCGAAGUACGCAGCUUUCUGGGCUUAGCUGGUUAUUAUCGGAGAUUUGUGGAAGGAUUUUCUCGAAUCGCUACUCCGUUAACUCAGCUGACUCGGAAGGAUGCAAAAUUCUUAUGGAGCGAGGAAUGCGAGAAGAGCUUCCAAGAGCUCAAGAGGAGACUCAUUUCGGCACCUGUUCUGACAAUACCAUCUGGUUCAGAUGGAUUUGUUAUCUACAGCGAUGCUUCUGGCAAGGGGUUAGGAUGUGUUCUCAUGCAACAUGGGAAAGUCAUAGCCUAUGCCUCACGACAACUCAAAGAAUAUGAGAGGAAUUAUCCUACUCAUGAUCUGGAGUUGGCAGCAGUCGUGUUUGCGUUGAAGAUAUGGAGACACUACUUGUACGGGGAGAAAGUAGAGAUUUAUACGGAUCAUAAAAGCCUCAAAUAUUUCUUCACCCAAAAAGAACUCAACAUGCGGCAACGACGUUGGCUGGAGCUGUUAAAAGAUUACGAUCACACUAUUCAAUAUCAUCCUGGAAAAGCGAACGUAGUAGCUGACGCAUUAAGUAGAAGAUCAUAUGCAAGUACGAGUGCGAUAUUGUCAACGCAAAGGCCCAUUUUGUAUGACUUGCAAAGGAUGGAGGUAGAAUUAAAGACUCCAGGGACCCACAUAAUGAUGGCGAAUAUACAAGUAGAACCGACUUUAAUCGAUAAAGUUAAAGCUGCUCAAGCUACGGACCUGGGGCUGAUGCGUAUGAAGAAGAAAGUGCAAGAAGGAGCUAUUCCGGAAGCAAGAAUUGAUGAGGAAGGAAUACUUCGAGUCAAUUCUAGACUUUGCGUUCCUAACGAUUCUGACCUGAAGCAUAAAAUCAUGAUGGAGGCACACAACACCCCGUUUGCAAUCCAUCCUGGGAGUACCAAAAUGUAUCAUGAUAUUCGACAUACAUUUUGGUGGAACAAUAUGAAGAGAGAGAUUGCGGAGUUUAUCUCAAGAUGUUUAACCUGUCAACGUGUAAAGGCGGAGCAUCAAGUGCCAAAAGGUCCAUUGCAACCACUUGAGAUUCCGGAAUGGAAAUGGGAACACAUUACUAUGGAUUUUGUUACAGGUCUUCCCAAAGUUUCUCAAGGCGUAGAUGCAAUUUGGGUUAUUGUUGAUAGAUUAACCAAGUCUGCCCAUUUCUUACCGAUACGCGAGACUUAUCCCCUUGAACGUCUUGCUCGUAUGUACGUGAAUGAGAUUGUACGAUUGCAUGGCAUGCCAGUAUCCAUAGUUUCGGAUCGUGACCCGAGAUUCACUUCAAGAUUUUGGGUUAGCUUGCAGAAAGCUAUGGGCACGGAUUUACGAUUCAGUUCAGCAUACCAUCCUCAAACGGACGGACAAUCAGAGAGGACUAUUCAAACCCUUGAAGAUCUAUUAAGACUCUGUGUCCUAGAUUUCAAAGGAAGUUGGGAUAAGUACCUACCACUGGUGGAAUUCUCCUACAACAACAGUUAUCAAGCAAGUAUAGGCAUGGCUCCAUUUGAGGCGUUGUAUGGACGAAAAUGUCGUUCUCCAGUAUGCUGGGACGAGGUGGGAGAAGCAACAUUGUUGGGACCAGAAUUAGUACGCAUGACUACAGAAAAGAUCCAAAUGAUUCGACAACGUAUUCAAACUUCACAAGAUCGACAAAAGAGUUAUGCUGAUCUUCAUAGAAAGGACGUGGAGUUUAAUAUUGGAGAUCAUGUAUUGUUACGUAUUGCUCCAUGGAAAGGAGUUACAAGAUUUGGGAAAAGAGGAAAGCUCAAUCCAAGGUUUGUUGGUCCAUUUGAGAUUCUUGACCGAAUAGGAAACGUAGCCUAUAGACUCGCGUUACCUCCAAGUAUGUCUCGUGUUCACAAUGUAUUCCACAUAUCUAUGCUUCGUAAAUAUGUGAAAGACCCGAACCACAUUAUUGCAUUAGAACCAGACGAGAUAGCUGAAGAUUUAACCUACGAGGAGAUACCUGUUGAGAUUUUGGAUAGGAAAGAGCAUGUCUUACGCACGAAGGUUAUACCACAAGUUAAGGUUUUGUGGAGAAACCAUGCAAUUGAGGAAAUGACAUGGGAGUUGGAAUCGGAGAUGAAAGCGAGGUACCCUCACCUUUUCGAUAUACCAGGUACGUACGUCAAUUUCGAGGACGAAAUUUCAUAAGGAGGGGAGGUUGUAAGACCCCAACUUAUUAUAAAUAAAAUUGAAUUUUCCUUUAUUCAUUAUUCUAAAUUAAUAAGGGUUAAUUUGAUAUAAUUCUUUGGUUAUGGGUGAAAUGUGCAAAGUUUACAAAAUAAGCAAGUGGUUAUAAAAUAUUCAUUAUUGUCGGGGAAUAUUCGUUUGGUCGUGGAAUAUUCUUUUUGUCGGGAAUCUCCGUACGACGGCGCAGUCAUGGGUGGGCCCCAUAAUGGAAAACGGUUAGAUGAAGGAAAACGACAAAGAUUGAGUUUUAUAAAUAACGACGUAAAUUGUUACCGUUAACACUGUUGGGUUACCUGGUGGUUAAAAUACAGUAAUACGCGUGGUUGCACAGCAGCACACGGUCUUGCACAGUAUUAUUGAAUUAUUGAUCCUUACGUAAGAAGGCACUACUCAAUAAUUGUUACAGUAGUUACUGUUCAAUAUUAUAUUUUAUUGAUUCAAUAAUUACUGCGUUGAUAUUUUGUAUUGCUGUUGUUUCAAUAAUUGUCAUUACACAGUAUUUUUCAUUAUCAAAUCAAUAAUUCAUAUUAUUUGAAUAAUAUUAUCAGAUAACAUUAUUGGCAAUGUCUAGAAAGUUCUGUCUAAGGAGAGGUUUGGUCACCUAAUUGCGCGCCAGUAAGGAGAAAUCCUUAUUGGAAAGCUCCCUUUUUCCUGGGAACGACCUGGUUGUCAGUACUGUGAUUCUGUAAUAUUAUUUUUAAAUAAGUAAUUAUUGAUUAUUAUGAUAAACAAAAUAUUU
RNAcentral lists this long non-coding RNA (7764 nucleotides) under Panax ginseng (ginseng). RNAcentral's name for it is "long non-coding RNA (PGIN_LNC016137)". Lineage: Eukaryota; Viridiplantae; Streptophyta; Magnoliopsida; Apiales; Araliaceae. The record is from RNAcentral.